AGUUGAUCAUUGACGGAAGGAGCGAAAGCAAAGGCUGUGGGGGAAGCUUGGCUACUGGCUUGUUCCCCGUGGUGCACUCAGCCCUGAUUAUCACACAACGCAGGACCACUCGCUCAGAGGUGGCGCCAUAUCCAGUGGACUGGGCUUUCUCACACCAAUCAUUAAGCAAGAAGACAGCCCACAGACCUGCCCAGAAGCAAUCCGAUGGAGGUUCUAAGGAGAUAACCCAGUUUCGUAAUGGAAAUGAGGCUGGUUGCAGACCUGGAGGGAAGGAUCUGAUGCAGGUUGAAGCAAAUUCAUAAACACAUCCAGACCAACACAUCCACAGAGCUCAACUACAAGACCAGUCUACAUCCGCCAGUCUCCUCUCGCUUUUCUUUGAAUAACCUCUUCAAACAUGGAUCAAGGAACUCAAUGACUAUCUGGUGACUCAUUUGGCGACACAGAGCUAUCUUCUUUAGUCAGGCAACAUGGGGGAGCCAUCAAUCUCCUCACAAUGUCAUAAUGCAGCCCUGGAACCCCACAAAGAGCAUUCACACCUAGGACCUCACUUGACCAUGACUGCAUUUCUGUAAGGGACAGAUACCAUUAUUUCCAUGCCGAAGAUCAGGAAAAUGUCAUCCUCGUCUUUAUGAAUAGCACAGGAGUGAUCCACCAUUCAGGAAGGUCCACAGUAGUGGGGUCCAUCCAGUCUCCACCAUUGUCCAGCAGAGAAGUGCAGGGGAGUGAAUGAUGGCCGUGCCCCUCCCUCCACCUCUCUGCCUCCCACCACCAUACUUAUGAAAGAGCUUCCAUCCCUUUGUCUUCUUGGAGGGAUGGCUGUGGCCUUUUUGUUGGUGGAGGAAACACUGAAGUGUAGAAACAAUGGCUGUUUGUUUUAGGAGACAGUUUUAUUUAUUAUCUUAGAGUUUCACCUAGGACUGUCUCUAUGUAGGAGAGGCUCUGAGCCAGGACCUAGCCUGGGAUCAGCCUUGUAUGACUCUGUCUACCCCUCAAUAAACGUGGAUUGCUUGCUCCCUGUCA
Molecule: long non-coding RNA, 1023 nt
Filed under: Mus musculus (house mouse)
Lineage: Eukaryota; Metazoa; Chordata; Mammalia; Rodentia; Muridae
Description: predicted gene, 50337
Source: RNAcentral